Molecule: ribosomal RNA, 840 nt
Filed under: uncultured archaeon
Lineage: Archaea
Description: bacterial SSU rRNA
Rfam family: Archaeal small subunit ribosomal RNA
Source: RNAcentral
GCGAGUCGAAUGUAGCAAUACAUGGCGAACUGCUCAGUAACACGUGGACAACCUGCCCUUAGGACGGGGAUAAACCCGGGAAACUGGGUAUAAUACCCGAUAGGUCUCGAUUGCUGGAAUGCAUCGAGAUUUAAAGCUCCGGCGCCUAAGGAUGGGUCUGCGGCCUAUCAGGUAGUAGUGGGUGUAGCGUACCUACUAGCCUACGACGGGUACGGGUUGUGAGAGCAAGAGCCCGGAGAUGGAUUCUGAGACACGAAUCCAGGCCCUACGGGGUGCAGCAGGCGCGAAAACUUUACAAUGCUGGCAACAGCGAUAAGGGAACCUCGAGUGCCAGGUUACAAAUCUGGCUGUCGAGAUGCCUAAAAAGCAUUUCAUAGCAAGGGCCGGGCAAGACCGGUGCCAGCCGCCGCGGUAACACCGGCGGCUCGAGUGGUAACCGUUAUUAUUGGGUCUAAAGGGUCUGUAGCCGGCCGGAUAAGUCUCUUGAGAAAUCUGGCAGCUUAACUGUCAGGCUUUCAGGAGAUACUGUCUGGCUCGAGGCCGGGAGAGGUGAGAGGUACUUCAGGGGUAGGGGUGAAAUCUUGUAAUCCUUGAAGGACCACCAGUGGCGAAGGCGUCUCACCAGAACGGACCUGACGGCAAGGGACGAAAGCUAGGGGCACGAACCGGAUUAGAUACCCGGGUAGUCCUAGCCGUAAACGAUACUCGCUAGGUGUCGGCCACGGUGCGACCGUUGUCGGUGCCGUAGGGAAGCCGUGAAGCGAGCCACCUGGGAAGUACGGCCGCAAGGCCGAAACUUAAAGGAAUUGGCGGGGGAGCACCACAACGGGUGGAGCUUGC